UUUUGGGCAAUGGGCGAAAGCCUGACCCAGCAACGCCGCGUGAGGGAUGAAGGCCUUCGGGUCGUAAACCUCUGUCGGGAGGGGAGAACGGUCGCGAUUCGAACAGGGUCGCGACCUGACGGUACCUCCAAAGGAAGCACCGGCUAACCCCGUGCCAGCAGCCGCGGUAAUACGGAGGGUGCAAGCGUUGUUCGGAAUCAUUGGGCGUAAAGCGCGUGUAGGCGGCUGGGCAAGUCGGGUGUGAAAUCCCGGGGCCCAACCCCGGAACUGCAUUCGAAACUGCCUCGCUAGAGUCCCGGAGAGGAAGGCGGAAUUCCCGGUGUAGAGGUGAAAUUCGUAGAUAUCGGGAGGAACACCAGCGGCGAAGGCGGCCUUCUGGACGGUGACUGACGCUGAGACGCGAAAGCGUGGGGAGCAAACA
This 421-nucleotide ribosomal RNA is filed under the name uncultured bacterium. RNAcentral describes it as "bacterial SSU rRNA". It matches the Rfam family "Bacterial small subunit ribosomal RNA", at positions 362 to 774 of the family's 1533-position model. The record is from RNAcentral.